AGAGUUUGAUCAUGGCUCAGGACGAACGCUGGCGGCGUGCUUAACACAUGCAAGUGGAGCGACGAACCAGGGCUUGCCCUGGGGCAGAGCCGCGAACGGGUGAGUAACACGUGGGUAACGUGCCCCAAUGAUCGGGACAACCCGGGGAAACCCGGGCUAAUACCGAAUGUGCUCCCCUCACACCAGUGAGGGGUGGAAAGGAAGCUUCGGCCUCCGCAUUGGGAUCGGCCCGCGGCCCAUUAGCUUGUUGGUGAGGUAACGGCUCACCAAGGCUGCGAUGGGUAGCUGGUCUGAGAGGACGAUCAGCCACACUGGGACUGAGACACGGCCCAGACUCCUACGGGAGGCAGCAGUGGGGAAUCUUGCGCAAUGCGCGAAAGCGUGACGCAGCAACGCCGCGUGGGGGAAGAAGGCCUUCGGGUUGUAAACCCCUUUCAGGAGGGACGAAGCCAGGGCGGUUAAUAGCCGACCCGGGUGACGGUACCUCCAGAAGAAGCCCCGGCUAACUACGUGCCAGCAGCGGCGGUAAUAC
RNAcentral lists this ribosomal RNA (532 nucleotides) under uncultured bacterium. RNAcentral describes it as "bacterial SSU rRNA". It matches the Rfam family "Bacterial small subunit ribosomal RNA", at positions 8 to 526 of the family's 1533-position model. The record is from RNAcentral.